Molecule: long non-coding RNA, 1569 nt
Organism: Siniperca chuatsi (mandarin fish)
Lineage: Eukaryota; Metazoa; Chordata; Actinopteri; Centrarchiformes; Sinipercidae
Exons: 5
Source: RefSeq, a predicted model, not a curated record
UCAGCACGUGCCCUUUAGCGACCUCUGUCGGGGACCAAGGAAAUAACAUCCAACAUACCCACUGCUGCAGGCUCCUCCACAAACCCUGAGCUGGAUCAACAAUGUACCCAAACUGCGGGAGUGUGGAGAAGCCUUUGAAACAACAUUAGGCCAUUAACUGAAUGAAGAAAAUGAGAAAAUGUCACACUUUUGGUGGCUACUUGAGCAUUUCUUAGGGAGCUGGAGUUGCACUGGAGGAGUCAAAAACCUGGCACUGGCCCAUGUGACUAUCAUCAGCAGGUAUAGAGACUGGAUGGAUGGAUGAAGAACAAUGUGCUAUCAUUUAAAAUCAUCAUAUGAGAUUUAUUUCUUAGAAAAAGAGGAAACCCAUUCCCUUUGAAUAUCUUUUGUGGCUGAAAACAAAACCUCCCGGGUGUCUGCAACCACGAAACAUACAGAUUAACAGGCUGCAAAUCUGCAUGUGGGUGGGGGUGAGGUGGUGCUGGAGCUUUCCCUCCCCUCUGGUCUUCAACAUCUCAAUCACGUCUCCCGGGCCCCGCCCCAUUGUAUUAGCCCCCAGAAAGUGAUGGAAAUCCUUUCACUGGCUGCCUGACCUCUAGUAAUCCUGUUUCACAGACCAGCUCCCUGCUGAAACCAACACAAUGGCAGGCGCUCAGCCUCCUCCCAGUCGAUAUUCCAACAGACUUGAUCGAGCAAAUUAGUAUCCUUUGGUAAGGGCAUGACCAAAGACCUUUUCAGCACCCUACCAGAAUCAAUAAAGAGCAGUGAACAGCAUGUCUCUUUCUUUUUUGUCCUUUUACAUCGCUUCCUUGCCACUGUGUGUGACUUCUAUCCAGGGUUCAAGCUCCUGUGUGUGUUUCCUACAAACUGCCUUCACUACUGGGUGGAGAUCAAAGGUUAAAAUGGCUGACGGUCUAGGGAAAACUUCAGAUGCUGCUUCAAAGUAGAGGGAGUAUGAGGACCUGAAGCCGUGGAUGCCAGCCAUUAUUAACCACCUGUACUCGACUCAACAGCUUCCACUUCUAAUACAGAUCCAGAUGUGAUGGAGGCAAAGGGGCAAAGCAUGGCAAACCAUGUUCAGGACAUGCAUGAACAUGGCACUCCUGCAAAGCCAUUGAAAACAGGUCCAACAUACAGUUACAUCCAGGAACUGAUGGAAGUCCUUUUUGAACAGGCUUUUGACUACCCUACACUAUAUGCUGAGGAUGUGCCAAGGACCUCCCAAGGAUGAAGUCAUCGCUGGCUAUGCGUCCCACUUCAGUGGAGGGGCGAUCUAAAUCCAACAUCAGCAUCAGGGAACUCUUGCCGUACAUUUAGUGUGCUUAAUAGAUCUCAAAGGAUGCCAACAGCAAAAGCUGAAAGUAUGGCUGUUUUGAAGAAGCACACCUGUCAUUAAAAUAAAUCCUAAAAUAACAGUUGUCUAUUGUUUUUGACUAUUUUACGAUGUGACCUUUAACAAGCAAGGCAUGUAGGUUAUAAAGCAGAUUCUAGCACAGAGGUAUGUACUGUACGUGUGCAUUGUUGCACUUGGCCUAUUCCUGAGUGUAUGGUGAAUGCCACUGGGUCAGA